This 214-nucleotide ribosomal RNA is filed under the name uncultured bacterium. RNAcentral's name for it is "partial 16S ribosomal RNA". It matches the Rfam family "Bacterial small subunit ribosomal RNA", at positions 1287 to 1500 of the family's 1533-position model. The record is from RNAcentral.
CCCAGUUCGGAUUGUAGUCUGNAACCCGACUACAUGAAGCUGGAAUCGCUAGUAAUCGCGGAUCAGAAUGCCGCGGUGAAUACGUUCCCGGGUCUUGUACACACCGCCCGUCACACCAUGGGAGUCGGAAAUGCCCGAAGUCUGUGACCCAACCUACGGGAGGGAGCAGCCGAAGGCAGGUCGGAUGACUGGGGUGAAGUCGUAACAAGGUAAC